RNAcentral lists this ribosomal RNA (253 nucleotides) under uncultured bacterium. RNAcentral describes it as "partial 16S ribosomal RNA". It matches the Rfam family "Bacterial small subunit ribosomal RNA", at positions 524 to 776 of the family's 1533-position model. The record is from RNAcentral.
GACAGAGGGUGCAAACGUUGUUCGGAUUUACUGGGCGUAAAGCGCGUGUAGGCGGCUUUGCAAGUCGGAUGUGAAAUCCCACGGCUCAACCGUGGAAGUGCAUCCGAAACGGCAUGGCUGGAGUCCCGGAGAGGAAGGUGGAAUGCUUGGUGUAGAGGUGAAAUUCGUAGAUAUCAAGCAGAACACCUGCGGCGAAGGCGGCCUUCUGGACGGUGACUGACGCUGAGACGCGAAAGCGUGGGGAGCAAGCAGG